UAAUUUUUUUUAAAAAAAAUUAAAAGCGCUGGUAUAGUUACAUAUAAGAAAGCGCUUUAGGCAAGCGCUGGCUUAGGAUCCAAUUAGAAAGCGCUUUCAAUAAAAGCACUGGCUUGGUAUAAUUAAAAUUGAAAUUGAUAAACAUAAUCUCACAAACGCAAAACCUUCCCAAUCGAAAAACCCUAUCGUUCUUCUUCUUCUCCCAAACCAAAAAUCCAUUGAAUCCACGAACAAACUCUCUCAAUCCACAAACAAACCUUCUGAAUUCGAAGAACCCUAAUUGAACCCCUUGUGAAUCCCUUCUUCGCUCACGAAAUUUCCUCUUUCGUCUCUCACGAAAAUCUCACGAAAUUCCCUUCAGCCACCGUAUCAAAUUCGCUUCUUCUGGGUGUAUAUCUUCUUCUUCGGCCACCGUAACACAAUCGGUGGAAGCCGCUCGUACUCCCUUAAAUCCCUCCGACUACGUUCACAGCCGCUCCCUUAAAUCCCUCAGUUUUCACAGCCGCUCGUACUCCCUCCCUUUACAGCCGCAUAAACUCCCUCCGACUACGUUCAUUUUAUUCGGCCGCUCCGUUGACACGCCCUCUGCCAGAUCCUCCCUCAGCUGUUCGUUUCUUCUCAACGUUUGGGCGUCGUUUCGAUUAUUGCUAACAAAGAUAGUUCAAGAGGGAUACAUUUUCGGCGUGCAGGACCUCGUCAAAAGGUAUGUUUCCACACAUGUGUGAAUUUACCGGUUUAGGUUCCUUCUUGCAUUUAUUUAAUUAUGUGUUCCUCAUAUGCUCAUUCCUAUAAUUAUGUACUUUAUCUUAGUUUUUUUAGCUCAAGUCAUAUAACACACAUGUUAACUAAGAAAAAACAUAUGCUCAUGCAUAUGCUCAUUCAUAUGCUCAUUCCUAUAAUUAUGAACAGCUUGUAUCCAAGCAACAGUAUGUUCAGAUAAUCCUAAUGGUAUAUUUCCAGAGAGAUUAUUCUUUUGCAAAUACAAGUAUUUUAGAUCAUUCAAACUACUCAGAUUUGGAAUUGAUCCUAUUAACCUGUUUUGAGAAAGAUCCAAAACUUCAAGAAAUUCUAUGUUGGAUAUCUCAACGGGGAUAUAACCUUCUAAUUGAUUUUCAUUCAUAAGAAGGAUACACAACUCAUACAUCCCAAUUGAAUUAGGAAUUGUGCCUGAGAUUGAGUUAUUGGAUAUGUCUAGCACUCCUAGUCUUGUAUUGUUUCCGUAGGAAGGAAUAUAUCAAUAUCUUUUGGAAGCAAACCACUUAAAUUGUUGUUUGAUAUAUCCAAAUCUUGUAUGCCAUCAUUAUGUUGCAACCAACUUGGAAAUGACCCAACUAAUUUGUUGCUGGAAAUGUCAAUCAAUAUCAAAUUAGAUUGAUAUGAAAGAAAACUAGGAAUCA
Long non-coding RNA from Vicia villosa (hairy vetch), 1397 nucleotides. RefSeq lists it as uncharacterized. The transcript is spliced from 2 exons. The record is from RefSeq and is a predicted model, not a curated record. NCBI's taxonomy places the organism in Eukaryota, Viridiplantae, Streptophyta, Magnoliopsida, Fabales, Fabaceae.